RNAcentral lists this ribosomal RNA (506 nucleotides) under uncultured bacterium. RNAcentral describes it as "partial 16S ribosomal RNA". It matches the Rfam family "Bacterial small subunit ribosomal RNA", at positions 30 to 523 of the family's 1533-position model. The record is from RNAcentral.
AUUGAACGCUGGCGGCAGGCCUAACACAUGCAAGUCGAGCGGUAGCACAGAAGAGCUUGCUCUUUGGGUGACGAGCGGCGGACGGGUGAGUAAUGUCUGGGAAACUGCCUGAUGGAGGGGGAUAACUACUGGAAACGGUAGCUAAUACCGCAUAACCUCGCAAGAGCAAAGAGGGGGACCUUCGGGCCUCUCGCCAUCAGAUGUGCCCAGAUGGGAUUAGCUAGUAGGUGAGGUAAUGGCUCACCUAGGCGACGAUCCCUAGCUGGUCUGAGAGGAUGACAAGCCACACUGGAACUGAGACACGGUCCACACCCCUACGGGAGGCGGCAGUGGGGAAUAUUGCACAAUGGGCGCAAGCCUGAUGCAGCCAUGCCGCGUAUGUGAAGAAGGCCUUCGGGUUGUAAAGCACUUUCAGCGGGGAGGAAGGCGGUAAGGUUAAUAACCUUAUCGAUUGACGUUACCCGCAGAAGAAGCACCGGCUAACUCCGUGCCAGCCGCCGCCGUAA